AAAAUAUAACGCUAAAGAGAGGGAGAUCAUCAGCAGCGGCGCUUCAGCAUAGAGGAAACCCCCCUGUCGUUCUCUUCUUCGAAAAAUACCCAAAACUUUUCAUCUUCUUUUAAAAGACAACACCAAAAACUUGCUAACUCCUCUCCAAACUAAUAGCCAUCAGCGAACCCCCACCCUUAGACGAAACGAACAGAAUGCUGAGAUUAAGAGCAGCUCCAUCUCUUUCAACCUAAGAAAAAUCAACUCCAAGCAAUAGUCAUGAAAUCUGCCCAAGAUCAGCCCCAAUAACCAGUAAAAAGCAACCACAAUAGCUCACUUUUAAUUUGUUUACUGCCAAGUUUCCGGCGGGCUAGAGGUAAGUCUGAAUUUGUCGAGGUUCGCAGGUUGCUGUGCGACCCUUGCUGCUGUUUUGUCACUCAGAUUUCUGAUUCAAAGUUUUGUAGCGGCCUUUUCACUUUUACUACUAUUAAAAGAAGAUUUGCUCUUCCUUAGGUAUUGAAUCAUGACUGCAAGUCUUUGGAUCUCUCCAAGUAUUGAGCUCAUUUGUUUUUUGUAAUAAAGUAUGGAUUUGUGCAUUAACAUGUGUUUGAUUUUCUCCAUGACUAUGUUUGUUUGGCUUGAAUCGAGAUCAAUAGAUUCUGUUCCUAAAGUAAUGAGUUAAUUGGGUAUUUAGCUUACAGUGGUACAACUGCUCUAGUUAUUCGGUUUGCCGUUGUUUACCAUGUAUAUUGUAUAUAUUUGAGAUGAGAGUUGAAUUGGAAAUGGC
This 766-nucleotide long non-coding RNA is filed under the name Nicotiana benthamiana. Its description in RNAcentral is "long non-coding RNA (NBEN_LNC033640)". Lineage: Eukaryota; Viridiplantae; Streptophyta; Magnoliopsida; Solanales; Solanaceae. The record is from RNAcentral.